RNAcentral lists this ribosomal RNA (669 nucleotides) under Triticum aestivum (bread wheat). RNAcentral's name for it is "partial small subunit ribosomal RNA". Lineage: Eukaryota; Viridiplantae; Streptophyta; Magnoliopsida; Poales; Poaceae. The record is from RNAcentral.
AUGGAAAAAUUCUCUUGGGUGUGGUUGGGGCAGCAAACUGGUUGUGGCCGAACUGGAGAUGGAGCUAUAACCGCAUCGAAUGAGUGGUGGAAAAAAGUAAUUAAGGAGAGACCAGAUGUCAGAAAAUUCAAGGGUGGCAAUCCUGAGUAUUUGGAUAUGCUAAUAGAGCUAUUUCAAGGUGUGGCAGUUGAUGGAUCAUCAGCUUAUGUGCCCAUAGAUGAAGAUGAAGAAGAAGAUGUUGUUGCCGAUGAUGGAAAUGAGGAGAGUCCAAUGAGCACCACCAGCAGGAAGAGGGGAAGCAGCUACGGUGAACAGUCAGCUUCAAGCCCAGGCAAGAAACACAAGAGCCCAAUGGUGAAACUAAUGACAGGGCUCAUCAAUACUAUGACUAGUGAGAACACUUCUGACAUGAUCACUGAAUAUGCAAACAAAAGACAGGAAGCAAAGGACAAGGCAAAAGAGAAGAAAGCAAACAACACUAAGGAAUCCAUUACUCAUUGUCAACUGUUGGCAGUUCAAUGUGGUGCAGAAGAAACAAGUGUUGAGUACUUCAUGGCAACUCAACUAUUUGCAGAUGAGGCAAACAGAGUCAUAUUUCAGAACAUUUCAAGUGAUCAGGCUAGACUGACUUGGUUGAAGAGGUGGUGCAUGAUGAAGAAGCUGUCCUAG